CGAGUCGUCCGGGUGAUCGCGGCAGCGAAGGCGGGUUGAAAAAUCUGGCCUCUGUUGUCGAGGAAAGUCCGGGCUCCACAUGGCAGGGUGGUGGGUAACACCCACCCGGGGCAACCCGCGGGACAGUGCCACAGAAAACAAACCGCCUUUCAUCAUGGUGUUCAUCACCAUGGCGGAGGGUAAGGGUGAAACGGUGGUGUAAGAGACCACCAGCGCCAUGGGUGACCAUGGCGGCUAGGUAAACCCCACCCGGAGCAAGGUCAAAAGGAUCGCAAUGUGAUCUGCGCGAACGAGCCGCCUGCUCAAUGUUCGCGGGUAGACCGCACCAGGUUGCUGGUAACAGUAAUCGCAGAUGGAUGAUCACCCCCCGCUUCGGCGGGGACAGAACCCGGCUUACAGGGCGACUCGUCCG
Molecule: RNase P RNA, 412 nt
Filed under: Actinomycetes bacterium
Lineage: Bacteria; Bacillati; Actinomycetota; Actinomycetes
Also listed under: 1 other name
Description: RNase P RNA component class A
Rfam family: Bacterial RNase P class A
About the family: Ribonuclease P (RNase P) is a ubiquitous endoribonuclease, found in archaea, bacteria and eukarya as well as chloroplasts and mitochondria. Its best characterised activity is the generation of mature 5'-ends of tRNAs by cleaving the 5'-leader elements of precursor-tRNAs.
Source: RNAcentral